AUUGAACGCUGGCGGCAGGCCUAACACAUGCAAGUCGAGCGGAUGAAGGGAGCCUGCUCCUGGAUUCAGCGGCGGACGGGUGAGUAAUGCCUAGGAAUCUGCCUGGUAGUGGGGGAUAACGUCCGGAAACGGGCGCUAAUACCGCAUACGUCCUGAGGGAGAAAGUGGGGGAUCUUCGGACCUCACGCUAUCAGAUGAGCCUAGGUCGGAUUAGCUAGUUGGUGGGGUAAAGGCCUACCAAGGCGACGAUCCGUAACUGGUCUGAGAGGAUGAUCAGUCACACUGGAACUGAGACACGGUACAGACUCCGACGGGAGGCAGCAGUGGGGAAUAUUGGACAAUGGGCGAAAGCCUGAUCCAGCCAUGCCGCGUGCGUGAAGAAGGUCUUCGGAUUGUAAAGCACUUUAAGUUGGGAGGAAGGGCAGUAAGUUAAUACCUUGCUGUUUUGACGUUACCAACAGAAUAAGCACCGGCUAACUUCGUG
RNAcentral lists this ribosomal RNA (484 nucleotides) under uncultured bacterium. RNAcentral's name for it is "partial 16S ribosomal RNA". It matches the Rfam family "Bacterial small subunit ribosomal RNA", at positions 30 to 507 of the family's 1533-position model. The record is from RNAcentral.